Long non-coding RNA from Brachypodium distachyon (stiff brome), 411 nucleotides. RefSeq lists it as uncharacterized. Lineage: Eukaryota; Viridiplantae; Streptophyta; Magnoliopsida; Poales; Poaceae. The transcript has 3 exons. The record is from RefSeq and is a predicted model, not a curated record.
AAGCAUAAGCAGCAAACGAAGGUUCUAUGAGCAACUCUAGCAGCCGCCCUAUCCGAUGCCCCCAUCCGACUCCCAGAAUUCAGCCGCUUCACAUAUCCGGAUAUCCCUUCCGGAAUCCUCAAACUCGGCGGGCAGCUCGGGGCGCUCCCCAAUCCCCAAACGGCUCCAACGGUGUUGCUAUGGCUACCUGUGGUCGGAGAUAUGGCGGCGGCGGUGUGGAUCGGGAGAUCGGAGCCUGACGGGCGGAGAGAUCAACAUUAUUACAUUAUUUGUAUGGUCUAACCAUUCAGAGAGUAGAAGACAAGCCAAUGGUGGAGGCUGCAUAUUUGCAGUUGUAGCAAGCGGUCAAGAAAACUUUUAUUACCUGUAAUGGAUGGCAGCAUAACCUGCGUCUGUCGGCUCCUUGAUGCA